UUCUUAUGAGUAACAAACCUAUAGUAAGACUCUCAUGCCAGAGCAAGCCGGGAAUGGCUCGGAAGUGCAGGGAAAACGGUUAUGCUCAUUGGCGCCAAAGUUAAUAGUGGCGAACUCAAAGUAAACAUAGCUCAGUAUUACCGACAAAGGAUACCGUAGCUCCACACCUAUGAGAAAGUAUUGGGGCUAUUAAAAACAAACACGUUAAGUGGACAAAGUCAAAUAAUUCAAGAUUAUGAUUCAUGAACUUAUCUCAUAGUUCAACCGUAAAUCUUCUGCUAGUUUCCCUAUUGAUGGUGGAGUCGUUUUCAAAGUCAAUUUGUACCUUGGAUUCACCCAAAACCUAUUGCCCAUACUAAGAGCUUGAGAUAGGCAACCACUCAAAGAUAUAAAAGUAUGGCCACCGUUCAUGUUUCCACUCACACAUGAGGACUAAUUUCUUGAAAACAUGAUAAAAUAAUUGUCCUCAAUUUUCUUGUCAUUAAUCACCAAACCCCGAUAGUGGUAUAAAAUAGCACUUUCAUUUUGUAUUCUUGCACUCUUAGUCUGUUCACUAUUGUUCUUCAAUAUUUGGUUAUCCUCGACUUCCAUAUUCCUUGCCCCUUUACAUAUCACAAUAAUAUGUAUUACAUUGCAAAAUAUCUGAUUUAACUAUAUUUGUCUAAAUAUAAAUCCCAACUAAAUUAUGUGUGUAGUAUAGGAGAGCUCCUGAACCCUACUUGUAGCGAGCCGGUUUCGAUAAGGAUCCAAGUCUCCUAUACUUUUAUGCUAUCCAAUAGCUAGCACACAUGGUACUUGAUAGAAUACCAUACAAUCACAUGUUAUAAAGUAACGUAAAUCUAUAAUAUUUAUUACCUUAUUGCCCUUGGGCUAGAAUACUCAAUAGAAAAACCAACAAUAAGGAUGUGGAGUCCCAUUAACGCCAACGGCAAAGUUGAGUUUACACAUUGUAACCCUAUAAUGCAUCACGUACUCGUCGUAUAAAUCCUGCAACAUGAUAAGCUACAGUCGUGUAUGUCAACACGUGGAAUGUACUAGGGAGUAACACCACAAGAGAGUAUAAAAAGUCCUACUUCUACAUGCAAUUUGGCGGGUGGAAGGUUCUAAGUUUAAUUUGCGUAAAGGUAACUUUUUUUCCUACUGUCAAAAUAACAUACUAUUUAUACAAAUGUCAUGAUUAAGAUGGAGCCCCCAACUCAAUCUAUAUCCAAAGUUGGUUAAACCCUUUCAGUUAAUAAAAUGUGAUGAGAUCACUCAACAUUCCCACUUCUAGAUACUCACAUUGUCGGUAAUAGGGACACAACUAAUCAAUUAGUUUUACACUUUGUAGAGGUUUGCACACUUUUCACCACAAGACUCAGUGUAUGUGAGCUGGAAGAUCGAGAACAAGUCUUUUGAAAAUAUUUCCCCUUAACCCAUGGAUAGGUCGGUACAAAUACAUUCCCCUACGUCUGCUAACCUACCGAGAAAAUGGGCCACACAACCUACUCAACUAAGCUAGAGCCCAUAAUAGCUUGUAGAUGCACAUUUAAGCUUCUACUUAUGAAAAAUUGUUUGAUCCCUUUGAACCCGGAUGUCUUUCCAUACAUGAGUUAUUCCCUGGUUACUCGAGAACACCCA
This 1620-nucleotide long non-coding RNA is filed under the name Hordeum vulgare. RNAcentral's name for it is "long non-coding RNA (HVUL_LNC021738)". Lineage: Eukaryota; Viridiplantae; Streptophyta; Magnoliopsida; Poales; Poaceae. The record is from RNAcentral.